GACGAACGCUGGCGGCGUGCUUAACACAUGCAAGUCGAGCGGUAAGGCCCUUUCGGGGGUACGACGAGCGGCGAACGGGUGAGUAACACGUGGGUGACCUGCCCUCAGCUCUGGGAUAAGCCCGGGAAACUGGGUCUAAUACUGGAUAUGACUCCACGGUGCAUGCCGUGGGGUGGAAAGCCUUGUGCGGCUGAGGAUGGGCCCGCGGCCUAUCAGCUUGUUGGUGGGGUGANGGCCUACCAAGGCGACGACGGGUAGCCGGCCUGAGAGGGCGACCGGCCACACUGGGACUGAGACACGGCCCAGACUCCUACGGGAGGCAGCAGUGGGGAAUCUUGCGCAAUGGGCGAAAGCCUGACGCAGCGACG
Molecule: ribosomal RNA, 368 nt
Filed under: uncultured bacterium
Lineage: Bacteria
Description: bacterial SSU rRNA
Rfam family: Bacterial small subunit ribosomal RNA
Source: RNAcentral